CCUACGGGUGGCUGCAGUGAGGAAUAUUGGUCAAUGGACGCAAGUCUGAACCAGCCAUGCCGCGUGCAGGAAGACUGCUCUAUGAGUUGUAAACUGCUUUUGUACGAGGGUAAACGCAGAUACGCGUAUCUGUCUGAAAGUAUCGUACGAAUAAGGAUCGGCUAACUCCGUUCCAGCAGCCGCGGUAAUACGGAGGAUUCAAACGGUAUCCGGAUUUUUUGGGUUUAAAGGGUGCGUAGGCGGUCGGAUAAGUUAGGGGUGAAAUCCCGAGGCUCAACUUCGGCAUUGCCUCUGAUACUGGUCGGCUAGAGAGUACGUGCGGUAGGCGGAAUGUAUGGUGUAGCGGUGAAAUGCUUAGAGAUCAUACAGAACACCGAUUGCGAAGGCAGCUUACCAGGCUACUUCUGACGUUGAGGCACGAAAGCGUGGGUGGCGAACAGGAUUAGAUACCCGAGUAGUC
This 460-nucleotide ribosomal RNA is filed under the name uncultured bacterium. RNAcentral describes it as "partial 16S ribosomal RNA". It matches the Rfam family "Bacterial small subunit ribosomal RNA", at positions 338 to 795 of the family's 1533-position model. The record is from RNAcentral.